This 484-nucleotide long non-coding RNA is filed under the name Vigna radiata. RNAcentral describes it as "long non-coding RNA (VRAD_LNC001413)". Lineage: Eukaryota; Viridiplantae; Streptophyta; Magnoliopsida; Fabales; Fabaceae. The record is from RNAcentral.
UUUAUGUUAUUACUCAGUGAAAAGUUGUAAUAGGAAGUAGAUUGUUACGUAAAUUAUUGUGCAGGAAAAGAUGUAUAAAUGGAAAUAUAUCAACCAAUUCUCGCANAGCGCAAGCCAAAUUCGCAGAGCCAGAAAAAAUAGAUUCGCACAGCGCACCAAGACCUGUGCNCUGAGCGAAUAAGAGAAGUUGAAAAAAAGAAAUUUUGGAAUUCGCUUAGCGCACACAUACUUGUGCGCUCAGCGAAUAACAUUGCAGCAAUUAAAAUAAAUUCGCACAGCGCACACACUCUUGUGUGCUGAGCGAAUUUAGGAAGUUAAGUGGCUCUUAAAAGACGUGACAGAGAAGCAGAAACUAUCUCCUGACACGAAAAAAAUAGAAGAACGCUCUGGAGAACUGGAGAAGACCGUCAGGAGACCCUUCAAGACAUCAAGACUUCACUUUCUGCAAGGAAUUGCUGUAAAGAGUACGUUUUAGAUGUCUAGG